CCUCCGUGCUGCGUAAAAGCUCUCUUGUGAUCAGCAAGAAGCGGCGCCGCCGCCGUAGCUUUCCCGGUCUUAGCCGUUGUUCAAGCUUUAGUUCCUCCGCCCAAGUCUGCUUCUUCCCGACCCCGAGCUUUCCUUUCCGGAAGAAGGUGAGUUGCUGACCCCAGUCCGCCUCGCCCGACCCCUCCUAUGCGCCCGACCCCGGUUCCGUCUCGCCCGACCCUAUCUGUUCUGCCGACCCUUAUCCGCCUCGCCCGAGGGCUCGGCUGUGAUCUUUUUCUUCAACCCGAGGGUGUAUGUGUAAAACAUAGGAACCCUUCAGCGCUUGCGUCAGAGGAUCCCUAGUUUUCCCACCUCCUCUAGUUCAAGGAUCGGAUCAUAAGUUUCUUUCCGACCCUUACCUCUUGAUCUUCACCAGCUCUCUUGAAC
RNAcentral lists this long non-coding RNA (426 nucleotides) under Setaria viridis. Its description in RNAcentral is "long non-coding RNA (SVIR_LNC005523)". The record is from RNAcentral. Lineage: Eukaryota; Viridiplantae; Streptophyta; Magnoliopsida; Poales; Poaceae.